RNAcentral lists this ribosomal RNA (253 nucleotides) under uncultured bacterium. RNAcentral's name for it is "partial 16S ribosomal RNA". It matches the Rfam family "Bacterial small subunit ribosomal RNA", at positions 524 to 776 of the family's 1533-position model. The record is from RNAcentral.
UACGAAGGGGGCUAGCGUUGCUCGGAAUCACUGGGCGUAAAGCGCACGUAGGCGGAUUGCUAAGUCAGGGGUGAAAUCCUGGAGCUCAACUCCAGAACUGCCUUUGAUACUGGAGAGCUUGAGUUCGGGAGAGGUGAGUGGAACUGCGAGUGUAGAGGUGAAAUUCGUAGAUAUUCGCAAGAACACCAGUGGCGAAGGCGGCUCACUGGCCCGAUACUGACGCUGAGGUGCGAAAGCGUGGGGAGCAAACAGG